ACAGUUUCCGGUGCUUGUACCCCCAGGCGCUCCGCACGCUGGCCUCCAUCUGCUGCGUGGAAGAGGGUGUCCACCAGCUGGAGAAGUGGAUGGCGUUCUGUGCUUGGCCGACAUCCUGACCGACAACAGCCACUCAGAGGCCACACGGGCUGAGGCUGCGGCUGUGGUGGCCCAGGUCACCUCCCCACACCUGCCCGUCACCCAGCACCUCAGUAGCUUCCUGGAGAGCAUGGAGGAGAUCGUGACAGCCCUCGUCAACUGUGCCAAGAGGCCUCAUCAGGGGAAGUCUUCCUACUGGCCUCUGC
RNAcentral lists this long non-coding RNA (305 nucleotides) under Homo sapiens (human). Its description in RNAcentral is "long non-coding RNA NONHSAT018149.2". The record is from RNAcentral. Lineage: Eukaryota; Metazoa; Chordata; Mammalia; Primates; Hominidae.